UAGGGAAUCUUCGGCAAUGGACGGAAGUCUGACCGAGCAACGCCGCGCGAGUGCAGAAGGUUUUCGGAUCGUAAAGCCCUGUUGUUAGAGAAGAACGUUGGUAGGAGUGGAAAAUCUACCAAGUGACGGUAACUAACCAGAAAGGGACGGCUAACUACGUGCCAGCAGCCGCGGUAAUACGUAGGUCCCGAGCGUUGUCCGGAUCUAUUGGGCGUAAAGCGAGCGCAGGCGGUUCUUUAAGUCUGAAGUUAAAGGCAGUGGCUUAACCAUUGUACGCUUUGGAAACUGGAGGACUUGAGUGCAGAAGGGGAGGGUGGAAUUCCAUGUGUAGCGGUGAAAUGCGUGGAUAUAUGGAGGAACACCGGUGGCGAAAGCGGCUCUCUGGUCUGUAACUGACGCUGAGGCUCGAAAGCGUGGGGAGCAAACAGG
RNAcentral lists this ribosomal RNA (429 nucleotides) under Bacillota bacterium. RNAcentral's name for it is "Firmicutes bacterium partial 16S ribosomal RNA". It matches the Rfam family "Bacterial small subunit ribosomal RNA", at positions 355 to 776 of the family's 1533-position model. The record is from RNAcentral. Lineage: Bacteria; Bacillati; Bacillota.